GAUGAAGAACGUAGCGAAAUGCGAUACGUAGUGUGAAUUGCAGAAUUCAGUGAAUCAUCGAAUCUUUGAACGCACAUUGCGCCCCUUGGUAUUCCAUGGGGCAUGCCUGUUCGAGCGUCAUUUGUACCUUCAAGCUCUGCUUGGUGUUGGGUGUUUGUCUCGCCUCUGCGUGUAGACUCGCCUCAAAACAAUUGGCAGCCGGCGUAUUGAUUUCGGAGCGCAGUACAUCUCGCGCUUUGCACUCAUAACGACGACGUCCAAAAGUACAUUUUUACACUCUUGACCUCGGAUCAGGUAGGGAUACCCGCUGAACUUAAGCAUAUCAAUAAGCGGAGGA
This 337-nucleotide unclassified non-coding RNA is filed under the name soil metagenome. Its description in RNAcentral is "partial contains 5.8S ribosomal RNA, internal transcribed spacer 2, and large subunit ribosomal RNA". The stretch from base 1 to 120 matches the Rfam family "5.8S ribosomal RNA", at positions 35 to 154 of the family's 154-position model. The record is from RNAcentral.